GGGGGUGUAGCUCAGUGGUAGAGCGCAUGCUUAGCAUGCAUGAGGUCCUGGGUUCAAUCCCCAGUACCUCCA
This 72-nucleotide transfer RNA is filed under the name Ictidomys tridecemlineatus (thirteen-lined ground squirrel). Its description in RNAcentral is "tRNA-Ala (AGC) (tRNA-Ala-AGC-4-1)". It matches the Rfam family "tRNA". Rfam says of the family: Transfer RNA (tRNA) molecules are approximately 80 nucleotides in length. Their secondary structure includes four short double-helical elements and three loops (D, anti-codon, and T loops). Lineage: Eukaryota; Metazoa; Chordata; Mammalia; Rodentia; Sciuridae. The record is from Rfam by way of RNAcentral.